UUGCUAUCUUUGCCGGCGAGCGGCGCCACGGGUGAGUAAUGCCUAGGGAUCUGCCCAGUCGAGGGGGAUAACAGUUGGAAACGACUGCUAAUACCGCAUACGCCCUACGGGGGAAAGGAGGGGACCUUCGGGCCUUCCGCGAUUGGAUGACC
RNAcentral lists this ribosomal RNA (152 nucleotides) under Shewanella baltica. RNAcentral describes it as "partial 16S ribosomal RNA". The stretch from base 28 to 152 matches the Rfam family "Bacterial small subunit ribosomal RNA", at positions 102 to 230 of the family's 1533-position model. The record is from RNAcentral. Lineage: Bacteria; Pseudomonadati; Pseudomonadota; Gammaproteobacteria; Alteromonadales; Shewanellaceae.